RNAcentral lists this ribosomal RNA (467 nucleotides) under uncultured bacterium. RNAcentral's name for it is "partial 16S ribosomal RNA". It matches the Rfam family "Bacterial small subunit ribosomal RNA", at positions 28 to 507 of the family's 1533-position model. The record is from RNAcentral.
GAUGAACGCUGACAGAAUGCUUAACACAUGCAAGUCAACUUGAAUUUGGGUUUUUAACUUAGGUUUGGGUGGCGGACGGGUGAGUAACGCGUAAAGAACUUGCCUCACAGCUAGGGACAACAUUUGGAAACGAAUGCUAAUACCUAAUAUUAUGAUAAUAGGGCAUCCUAUAAUUAUGAAAGCUAUAAGCGCUGUGAGAGAGCUUUGCGUCCCAUUAGCUAGUUGGAGAGGUAACGGCCCACCAAGGCGAUGAUGGGUAGCCGGCCUGAGAGGGUGAUCGGCCACAAGGGGACUGAGACACGGCCCUUACUCCUACGGGAGGCAGCAGCGGGGAAUAUUGGACAAUGGACCGAGAGUCUGAUCCAGCAAUUCUGUGUGCACGAUGAAGUUUUUCGGAAUGUAAAGUGCUUUCAGUUGGGAAGAAACAAAUGACGGUACCAACAGAAGAAGUGACGGCUAAAUACGUG